Molecule: ribosomal RNA, 134 nt
Filed under: uncultured eukaryote
Lineage: Eukaryota
Description: partial small subunit ribosomal RNA
Rfam family: Eukaryotic small subunit ribosomal RNA
Source: RNAcentral
CCCUGCCAUUUGUACACACCGCCCGUCGCUACUACCGAUUGAAUGGUUUAGUGAGGCCUCGGGACUGGCGCACGGGGCGCUGGCAACAGCACCCUCGCGCCGGGAACUUGGUCAAACUUGAUCAUUUAGAGGAA